RNAcentral lists this long non-coding RNA (15162 nucleotides) under Setaria italica (foxtail millet). Its description in RNAcentral is "long non-coding RNA (SITA_LNC006541)". Lineage: Eukaryota; Viridiplantae; Streptophyta; Magnoliopsida; Poales; Poaceae. The record is from RNAcentral.
AAUUCCUCAAGGCAUAGGAGAUCUAAAAUUUCUACAAUCUAUUGACCUUGAUGGGUGUGCAAAUAUUCAUCAACUUCCUAACAGCAUCCUAAAGCUGCGGAAGCUAAGGUCACUCAACUUGAGCGACACGGCAAUCACUUCAAUUCCUCGUGGCUUGGGAAAACUAGAAGAUUUGGUCCACAUAAGCGGGUUUCCAACACAUUAUUCAGAUGAGAGCACAUGUGGCUGGUGCAGCUUAGAAGAACUCAGACCUCUGUCGAAGCUCCAAAGCCUUGAAAUAAGUUGUCUGGAGAAAGCACCUUCCGGUUCUAUGGCUGCUAAAGCAAACCUUAGCAGUAAACAUCACCUGACACGGUUACAUUUGGUAUUUACCAGCAGGCUAGGAGACAACGGGAAGGUCAAAGGCAACAUUAGCGAGGAGGAACACAGGAGAACAGAGGAGGUGCUGGAUAAUCUGUGUCCUCCAACUUGCAUGGAAGAACUUGAUAUCAAAGGCUACUUUGCACGUGGGCUACCGCAGUGGAUGAGAACCAUGUCAGCCUUUGGGAGCUUAAGGCGGUUGCAGCUAGAUGACGACGCAUGCUGCACGCAUCUACCUAAUGGAUUGGGGCAGCUCCCCUUUCUUGAUUAUUUUUGGUUCAAUCGUGCUCCGUCUGUCCGGUGCGUUGGGCACGAUUUCCUCUUCCCCUCCUUGGGUGGUCAAGCUGAUGGCAAAGUAACACGGAACAAUAACAGGCAGCCUCAUCAUACUUUGCGAGGUGCUGGUGUUGCUUUUCCCAAGUUGAGAAAAGUGGGUUUUGUAGGCAUGCUGGGAUGGACGAAUUGGGAGUGGGAGCAGCACGUCCCAGCGAUGCCUGCACUAGAGGAGCUUACAAUCAUAAACUGCAAACUGCAACACCUUCCUGCAGGGCUUGCACAACAUGCAUGCCGGUUGAGAGAGUUGCGCCUGACACAUGUCCAGCACUUGGUCUCUGUUGAGAACUUCCCUUCACUAGUCAAGCUUUGGUCAUAUGACAACCCAAGGCUGGAGAGGAUCAGCAACAACCCGAGCUUGCAAUGGAUUGACAUUAGAAAUUGCCCAGCACUAGAACAAUUGGACGGUUUGCCAUCCCUCCGAAGCCUCGAGUGGAGGGAUUUGAGUGCUGAAGCACUCCCAGAAUACUUGCGAGAGGCAAAGCUAAAGAAAUUGCGUGUAGAUUGCAGCCGAAGAUUGCUCAAACUGAUAGCACUACAAGAUGAAUCCUCCGAAUGGGGAAAGAUCCAGCAUGUCCAGCAACUAGAGGCGUAUGGACACAAGAUAGAAGGAGAAGCGGAGGAAGCCGACCAAUCGCACGAAGAUGAGGAUGCCGAGUGGUACAUCUACUGUACCAAGGAGCCGUAUUCAUUCGACGCGUACCUGGGCAAGUCCACGGGUGAGUUCAUCUUCGACCUACUCGGUGGUUUUAUAACUGUAUGUGUGUGUACACUCAUGUAAAAAUGGAUUUCUAACUGUAUAUUCUCCUGCGCACAGGAUGAAGAUGAAGCAGAAGUAGACGAGGUGAACGAAGAGCAGAGUCCAGGAAUAGAAUAUAGUAAGAAUGCAAGGAACAGAGGAAGCUCUCAGGCUGUUACGACAGGACGAGCAUUCGAAUCCAUCCACCAAAUACUAGGUAUGAAUUGCCCAAAUACUGAUGGUCUUGUAGUUGUACACGCCAAAUUGGCUGUGACUAUUCUAACUGGAAAGCAUUGUCGUGUUAACGCAGGAGAAAGAAACCCAAGAAGGAGAAGAACACAUCGCAAUUGGGUGGUGGCAAUGUGGCAUACUGUCCCUCAAAUUCGUAAGUUGUAUAUGUUUGUGUGCGAAAAAUAUAAUACAGCAGUAAGGCGCGAGCGUCUCUCUAACCAGUUGUUGUGACGCUCAGGAAUGGAGCGCCAGCACGGGCGGCCUUGGACUCGUUGGAGCGAAUACGCGUCGGGGACGAGCGAUGGGCUGAGAGGUGAAGCACUGAACGUGCGCGCGAAGGGCAGCAGGGAAGGGAUUUGCACAUUUAGCUCCCAGGAUUUGCACUUCUUGUUGGCGUAUUUGUAGGCAGGUCUGCACUCCAUCUCUUCUUUUCGGUUGGUCUCUGCUAGCUCGUCAGACUUUCUACAGUGUUUUUGAAUGUUCGAUAGCAAAUGAGUGUAGGAAUUUGCAGACGUGCUCUAUGAUGCCGAGAUAACAAUUGCAUCCCCCCCUCAUGGAUCCUCUGGAAAGCUGAAGCUACUCUGCAAGACUGCAACGAUUGCAGCAACACGGACGUGCCUACUAAAAACAUGGUGCAAUAAAACUGCGAAAUGCUAAACAAGGUCAAGCCGGCAGCCAGGUAAACAACAUUCCAGGCAGCAGGUAUAUUCUGAGCCGUGUGAGAAUUAUCUGUCUGCAAUAGCUUUUUCAUGGGUAGCUAUCACUCGCAUGUGGAUCGUGUCUCUGGCUGAUCCGUUCAGCGUGGACCGGAGCCAACAACGGGGAUAAGAAGUCCCAACUAGUAGUAGUUGGCUGCCAAUGCGGUGGCCAAAAUUUGACCAAGCCAAGGCUAGUAAACAGCAAAUUUGGUACUGUAGGCGCGCUAUUAUAUAGCGGAAGCAACCAAAGUUAUAUAAAUAUUAAUUAUGGAUAAUACAAAGUUAUAUAAAUAUUAAUUAUGGAUAAUAAAGAGGGAGAACUAAUCAGGACGCUGACGAUGCUUCUAGUUGAUCCAUCAUGCUCCAAAAUCUUUCUGCAAGUCAGGAGCUGCAGGAUAUAAGUGCAGAACUGCCUGCCGAUUUCAAAAAAUUAAAAAAAAUUAAAGAAAAAAGAACUGACUGCCGAUGGCCACUCAAGGUAGUAAAAACUAUAGGAAUGCUAUUAGUAGUUCCAGUGUUCCACUGGUAGCUGCCAUUUGCGCUUUGCUGAUCCGUUAGGUGCGGAGCCAGCGACGAAGAGAAGAGUUGAAGCGUCUCUCUGGGGGUUAGUUGAGGCGUCUCUCUUUUGCACCUCAUCAAUAGAGACAAAUAAUUUGAGUUGCAUAUUUUUUGACUACUGACUGGACACCCAAUCGAGGUCCACAAAAAUAUGGAGUAGCGUACUCUUCUGGCACUCCUAUGCGUUGAACUUCUUCGCCUCGCCAUCUCAUCUGCCCAUCCGUGAUUUUCCAUCGACCGGCCAGGCCUUCCUUCUGUAUAAAGCGUCUCCUAAAUCACCGCAGAGUGUACACCCCCACAUAUCUGAAACCUAGUCAUCUUCCUUUUGCUCUCUGCUUUGCUACCCUGUUCCCCGACCAUGGCAGAGCUGCUGGACGAGUUCGCGUCCAAGCUUGUGGGCAUCCUGGCAGGCAUGGUGAAGGAGGAGGUGGAGAUGCUCCUCGGCGUGCCGGGUGAGGUCACCAAGCUCGAGACCACGCUCCGUGACCUGAGCGACAUCUUGGGUGAUGCGGAGAGGAAGCGCAUCCGUGACAAGGCUACGGAGGGUUGGGUGAGGGAGCUCAAGGACGUCAUGUACGACGCCGAUGACGUCCUUGACCUCUGCCAGCUCAUGGAGGGCGGAGAAGAUCCUCCCGCACCAACAUCUGCUCCAAAAACCACCUCAAGGUGCUGGGACAUCCCCAAGAUGUUCUUUUGCUUCCGCAACCCUGUUGUGGCACAUGAGAUUGGAACGAAGAUCCAAGCGAUCAACCAGCGACUGGAAGACCUGGCAACGAGGAGCUCCCGUUUCGGAUUCAUCACCCAAGCCAUCCAUUCCUCAGCUGAUUCAAUCAACAAAGCUUCCAAUUCUUUGUCGACCGACGAGACUGGAUCGGUUUUUAUCCGGUCUGAUGUUGUCGGCGAGAAGGUUGAGGAUGACACGAAGAAAAUUGUAGAUCUACUCAUCAAGAAGAUGGAUGCUCCCGUAGGAUCAAGGGCCAAUAAUGAUGUGGUUGUUGCUGUUGCUAUCACAGGCACAGGUGGGAUAGGCAAAACCACUCUUGCUCAGAUGGUCUUCGGUGAUAGUAGGGUGGAGGAAAAAUUCGAGGAAAGGAUCUGGUUGAGCGUUAACCGUGAGUUCAAUGAGAUCAACGUCCUACAAAGUCUUAUAACUUCUUUUGGUGCCAAACAUGAAGGCUGUGCGGGAAACAAGGACCUACUUCAGCGUGCCCUGAAGGAUACGAUCCGGCAAAAGAAGAAGUUUUUGUUGGUGAUGGAUGAUGUGUGGAGGGAAAAUGUGUGGUAUAAGCUGCUUAGAGAGCCGCUCAAUCAUGGUGCUUCUGGCAGUCGAGUCUUGGUGACCACAAGAAAUGAUGGAGUUGCUCAUGGGAUGAAAGCUCAACAUCUCCAUCCAGUUCACAAGCUAACAACGGAAGAUGCUUGGAUUUUGCUAAAGAACCAGGUCAGUAAUAACUUUUAUUUAUUACAGUAAUUAUUUAUGCAGUAAUUUGAAUUUACUGUAACAACUUUUAUCUCUUCUUAAUUACUUUCUCUCCCUUGGAGGAAUGCACGAUAGCCCACUGCUCGUUAUUUCUCUUGUCGCUCUUGUCCGAUCUGAUUACGCAAAGGACCAUGUAAUUUCACUACGAGCCUUUUAUCAUACUUUCAUAAGCUCUUGGCUUAGCAAAACUUGUCUCAUGGUUAUAUUUAGUUGAACAUAUCCUAUUGACGUUGAGGGAAGUUUUGUUUAGUGCAAGGAAUCGGAUACCGUAGCCUAAGAGGGGGAGAGGGUGAAUUAGGUAACUUAAAACCUUAAUCUAUAGCUUCCGCUACUUUUGCAUCAAAUUUAAUUAGAUCAUGUAUCAAGAUGUGUAACUAUGGUUGAUCUAGUGUGAAAUCCUCAUCCUAAAAUUAGUUUUGCAACCUAGAGGCAAUCCUAACAAGAUACUACACUAAGAAUGUAAAGGCACACAAGUUGCAAGUAUGAAAUGUGGAAAUGAAAAGGAGGGGAUGAGGGGAAGCAAACUCUUGACACGAUGAUUUAUCCCGUUGUAUCGGUAGGCACUAAACCACCGCUAGUCGACAUUGUUGAAGCACUCACACAAGAGUAUUGCUUUCCGGUCACCAAGUCUCUCUCGGGAUACUCCUUGCUUUGCCACGAAGGCUUGGCCGCUAAGGCUCACGUCAAAUUCUCAGGUCACCUUGAUACCAUCUCCACAAAGGAGCUUCUCCACGAAGGAAGGGGGUCUCCACGUUCCCUGCAUAUUGUCGUCGACGCCGAUCCAUGCCAAACCGGAGGGUCGAAGACUUACCGGCGAACUACCAAGGCUCCAAGAUAGCACACCUUGUACAGCUGUGGUUCACUCCUAGAACCGAUCACAAGGCAGGCACACCUUGCACUCUCUCUUCUCUAGGCCUAUCCUAGCACUAAAUAUUCUUAUAAGCUUGUGCUAAGCCUUUGAUUAAUCACUUAUGCACUUUUGGUGGCUUGGAUGUGUUCUUGAUGAGUCUUGAUCUCCAAUGGACUUCUGCAUACUCCAGCUUCAUCCAGCAACUCCAAUGGGUGAGUGGAGGGGGUAUAAAUAGCCCAAGAACUCAAAGAGCCGUUGCUCCAACGGCUAGUUAAAGUAUACCAUCGGAUGUUCCGAUGGUAUCAUUCGGGGUAGCAUUCGAACAUCUGGUUCUACCAGCCCUUGCCUCCCCGCGCUUAGAUUCUACUCAAGUUCCUCACCGACGCAAUCCAUCGAUUGAUCAAGUGGUCCCUCUAGCACCCAUCGGAUCAUCCGGUGCAGUAGCUUCCUAUGCCAAAACGUCUCUGUUAGUUUCUAAAAUAAAUAUGCUUCAUCCGAUGCCCCCACGACACAUAGCGUCGGAUCAUCCGGUGCCUCCUUCUUUCUUCUCUUUGCUCCGGCGAUUCAUCCGAUGGAUACAAAACUUAGGCCAUCGAAUCAUCCGAUGGUCCUACUUUGACUUGGUCUCCACAUGGCGUACCAAAAGCUCCGAUGCUUGCACCGAUGCUUUUUCAACUGGCCAUCGAAACAUCCGAUGGUCUCAAAAACCUGCUUCACGCUUGGCACCGACUGAUUCGGUGGGCACCUUCUUCUUGUCACCAGAUGAAUCGGUGACUAUAAUGAUUCCUGUUUUUCUUUGAUUCUUUGCUUAUCUUUGGUUGUGGUUGCUUCCUCAGGACCUAUAAUACCUUCAAGAUAUGUUUUCAAUGCUUUGUUAGUCCUGAUGACCGUGUUGUCACAUUAAUCACCAAAAUCACAAACAAAUAGCCUAUUCGGGGCCAUGUUUGCUACAUUUAGGCUAUUCCCAAUGGGGAUUUCAUAAGAGUUUCAUUUAAUGAUGCGACACACCAACAAUUUUGAUGAUAUGGCAUGCUAAUAAUCAUGAAGAGAGAGAGGGAAUGAGUUUAAUCCUGAUUAAACUAUGUAUACAUUGUUUCCAAGACUAUGAAACCUGAUGAAACUAGCAUUGGGGAUUAGAGAGUUUCAUUUCAUCUCAUAACAUCCAAUCACAUACCUCGCAAUUAAACGUUAUGUCCAGCCUAUGAAAUCGCGAAAUGAAACUCUCCAUUGGGAGAUCUUGUGUCAUACAUCCACUCAAACAUCUUUCGAUGACGUACCACUCUUGAAAAUUGUAAUUGAAAUUUCCCACUGGGAAUAGCCAUGGUUGCUCUAGAGUCUAGACUCUAUUUAAGUCACUUCAACUUUUUCCCUACACACAACCCCUGCAACAGUUAUGAUACAACAUAAAAUCCAUUGGGAGCUUUUCGAUUCUAGCACCAUUUCCUCUCUCAAACUUGCUGCAUUUUUUUUCCAAUACUAGGUAGUUUCGAAUGAGAGUGAUGAAGCCGAUGUCGAUGAAUUGAAGAGUAUCGGGAUGGAAAUUGUUGAAAGAUGUGACUGCUUGCCGUUAGCAGUUAAGGUCCUUGGAGGACUCUUGCGUCACAAAAGGAGAACAAGGGAUGCCUGGACGGAUGUUAGUAGCCACGAUAUUUGGUCGACAAUAGGAAGCGAUGAAGAUAUUAAUAAAGCGGUCUAUUUGAGUUAUGAAGAUUUGCCUUCACACUUGAAGCAAUGUUUUGUGUAUUGUUCGCUAAUCCCUAAAGAUCACUUGAUAUCGAGUGGAGUAAUAGUCAAGCUUUGGAUUGCAGCAGGUCAUGUACACAACAAGAUGAGCUGUAAGGUACCAGAAAAGUUGGGGAAAGAAUACUACAACGAAUUGGUUUCAAGAAAUCUUCUAGAACCAGACAAAAGUUACUAUAGUACAGUAGUAUGCAGGAUGCACGAUGUUGUCCGUUCCUUCGCUCAGUAUAUAAUUAAAGAUGAAGGGAUACUUAUUAGUGAUGGGCAGGAUGUUAAUAGAACUCUUAGCACUGCAAAGCUUCGGCACCUAUCUAUCUCAAACACGACAGUAGGGCAUGACACUUUGCAAAAACAAGCCUUGCUUAGAACAUUAAUUUUAUUCGGAAGCAGUACCACUGUUGAGCUAAAGGAUCUGUUGAACAACCUUUCUUGCCUGAGAGUACUACAUCUAGUAAAGGUAGAUUUAGUCGAGCUGCCAGACUCCAUAUGCCACCUCAAACAUUUAAGAUACUUGUGUAUUUGUAACGCAAGCAUAUCCAGAAUUCCUCAAGGCAUAGGAGAUCUAAAAUUUCUACAAUCUAUUGACCUUGAUGGGUGUGCAAAUAUUCAUCAACUUCCUAACAGCAUCCUAAAGCUGCGGAAGCUAAGGUCACUCAACUUGAGCGACACGGCAAUCACUUCAAUUCCUCGUGGCUUGGGAAAACUAGAAGAUUUGGUCACCAUAAGGGGGUUUCCAACACAUUAUUCAGAUGAGAGCACAGGUGGCUGGUGCAGCAUAGAAGAACUCAGACCUCUGUCGAAGCUCCAAAGCCUUGAAAUAAUAUGUCUGGAGAAGGCACCUUCCGGUUCUAUGGCUGCUAAAGCAAACCUUAGCAGUAAACAUCACCUGACAUGGCUAGAUUUGGUAUUUACCAGCAGGCUAGGAGACAACGGGGUGGUCGAAGGCAACAUUAGCGAGGAGGAACACAGGAGAACAGAGGAGGUGCUGGAUAAUCUGUGUCCUCCAACUUGCAUGGAAGAACUUGAUAUAAAAGGCUACUUUGCACGUGGGCUACCGCAGUGGAUGAGAACCAUGUCAGCCUUUGGGAGCUUAAGGCGGUUGGUGCUACAUGACUACGCAUGCUGCCCGCAUCUACCUAAUGGAUUGGGGCAGCUCCCCUUUCUUGAUUAUUUUUGGGUCAAACGUGCUCCGUCUGUCCGGUGCGUUGGGCACGAUUUCCUCUUCCCCUCCUUGGGUGGUCAAGCUGAUGGCAAAGUAACACGGAACAAUAACAGGCAGCCUCAUCAUACUUCGCGUGGUGCUGGUGUUGCUUUUCCCAAGCUGUCAGAAGUGGGUUUUGUAGGCAUGCUGGGAUGGACGAAUUGGGAGUGGGAGCAGCACGUCCCAGCGAUGCCUACACUAGAGGAGCUUACAAUCAGAAACUGCAAACUGCAACACCUUCCUGCAGGGCUUGCAUACCAUGCAUGCCGGUUGAGAGAGUUGGACCUGAGAAAUAUCCAGCUCUUGGUCUGUGUGGAGAACUUCCCUUCACUAGUCAAGCUUUGGUCAUAUGACAACCCAAGGCUGGAGAGGAUCAGCAACAACCCAAGCUUGCAAUGGAUUGACAUUAGCAAUUGCCGAGCACUAGAGGAAUUGGACGGUUUGCCAUCCCUCCUAAGCCUUGAGUGGUGGAAUUUGAGUGCUGAAGCACUCCCAGAAUACUUGCGAGAGGCAAAGCUAAAGAAAUUGCGUGUAGAUUGCAGCCGAAGAUUGCUCAAACUGAUAGCACUACAAGAUGAAUCCUCCGAAUGGGGAAAGAUCCAGCAUGUCCAGCAACUAAAGGUGUAUGGAUGCAAGAUAGAAGGAGAAGCGGAGGAAGCCGACCAAUCGCACGAAGAUGAGGAUGCCGAGUGGUACAUCUACUGUACCAAGGAGCCGUAUUCAUUCGACGCAUACCUGGGCAAGUCCACGGGUGAGUUCAUCUUCGACCUACUCGGUGGUUUUAUAACUGUAUGUGUGUACACUCAUGUAAAAAUGGAUUUCUAACUGUAUAUUCACCUGCGCACAGGAUGAAGAUGAAGCAGAAGUAGACGAGGUGAACGAAGAGCAGAGUCCAGGAAUAGAACAUAGUAAGAAUGCAAGGAACAGAGGAAGCUCUCAGGCUGUUACGACAGGAGGAGCAUUCGAAUCCAUCCACCAAAUACUAGGUAUGAAUUGCCCAAAUACUAAUGGUCUUGUAGUUGUACACGCCAAAUUGGCUGUGACUAUUCUAACUGGAAAGCAUUGUCGUGUUAACGCAGGAGAAGAACACAUCGCAAUUGGCAUACUGUCCCUCAAAUUCGUAAGUUGUAUAUGUUUGUGUGCGAAAAAUAUAAUACAUCAGUAAGGCGCGAGCGUCUCUCUAACCAGUUGUUGUGACGCUCAGGAAGGGAGCGCCAGCACGGGCGGCCUUGGACUCGUUGGAGCGAAUACGCGUCGGGGACGAGCGAUGGGCUGAGAGCUGAAGCACUGAACGUGCGCGCGAAGGGCAGCAGGGAAGGGAUUUGCACAUUUAGCUCCCAGGAUUUGCACUUCUUGUUGGCGUAUUUGUAGGCAGGUCUGCACUCCAUCUCUUCUUUUUGGUUGGUCUGUGCUAGCUCGUCAGACUUUCUACAGUGUUUUUGAAUGUUCGAUAACAAAUGAGUGUAGGAAUUUGCAGACGUGCUCUAUGAUGCCGAGAUAACAAUUGCAUCCCCCCCUCAUGGAUCCUCUGGAAAGCUGAAGCUACUCUGCAAGACUGCAACGAUUGCAGCAACACGGACGUGCCUACUAAAAACAUGGUGCAAUAAAACUGCGAAAUGCUAAACAAGGUCAAGCCGGCAGCCAGGUGAGCAACAUUCCAGGCAGCAGGCAUAUUCUGAGCCGUUCAGCGUGGACCGGAGCCAACAACGGGGAUAAGAAGUCCCAACUAGUAGUAGUUGGCAGCCAAUGCGGUGGCCAAAAUUUGACCAAGCCAAGGCUAGUAAACAGCAAAUUUUGUAGCAAACCAAAAUUAAAAUGCGACGUAACCAAAGCGCUGGCGUAACCAUGUCGACAUUAGACCUGAUUUGUUAAUACGUGCUGAGAUGGCGAGGCAUAUCUUGUAACCAGCGACGAAGAGAAGAGUUCAAGCUGCAUUGGAUACAUGUGCUCCUGCCUCCUGGGGGUUAGUUGAGGCGUCUCUCUUUUGCACCUCAUCAAUAGAGACAAAUAAUUUGAGUUGCAUAUUUUUUGACUACUGACUGGACACCCAAUCGAGGUCCACAAAAAUAUGGAGUAGCGUACUCUUCUGGCCCUCCUAUGCGUUGAACUUCUUCGCCUCACCAUCUCAUCUGCCCAUCCGUGAUUUUCCAUCGACCGGCCAGGCCUUCCUUCUGUAUAAAGCGUCUCCUAAAUCACCGCAGAGUGUACACCCACACAUAUCUGAAAUCUAGUCAUCUUCCUUAGUCAUCUUCCUUUUGCUCUCUGCUUUGCUACCCUGUUCCCCGACCAUGGCAGAGCUGCUGGACGAGUUCGCGUCCAAGCUUGUGGGCAUCCUGGCAGGCAUGGUGAAGGAGGAGGUGGAGAUGCUCCUCGGCGUGCCGGGUGAGGUCACCAAGCUCGAGACCACGCUCCGCGACCUGAGCCACAUCUUGGGUGAUGCGGAGAGGAAGCGCAUCCGUGACAAGGCUACGGAGGGUUGGGUGAGGGAGCUCAAGGACGUCAUGUACGACGCCGAUGACGUCCUUGACCUCUGCCAGCUCAUGGAAGGCGGAGAAGAUCCUCCCGCACCAACAUCUGCUCCGAAAACCACCUCAAGGUGCUGGGACAUCCCCAAGAUGUUUUUUUGCUUCCGCAACCCUGUUGCGGCACAUGAGAUUGGAACGAAGAUCCAAGCGAUCAACCAGCGACUGGAAGACCUGGCAAAGAGGAGCUCCCGUUUCGGAUUCAUCACCCAAGCCAUCCAUUCCUCAGCUGAUUCAAUCAACGAAGCUUGGAAUUCUUUGUCCGACGAGACUGGAUCGGUUUUUAUCCGGUCUGAUGUUGUCGGCGAGAAGAUUGAGGAUGACACGAAGAAAAUUGUUGAUCUACUCAUCAAGAAGGUGGAUGCUCCUGUAGGAUCAAGGGCCAAUAGUGAUGUGGUUGUUGCUGUUGCUAUCACAGGCACAGGUGGGAUAGGCAAAACCACUCUUGCUAAGAUGGUCUUCGGUGAUAGUAGGGUGGAGGAAAACUUCAAGGAAAGGAUCUGGUUGAGCGUUAACCGUGAGUUCAAUGAGAUCAAUGUCCUACAAAGUCUUAUAGCUUCUUUUGGUGCCAAACAUGAAGGCUGUGCGGGAAACAAGGACCUACUUCAGCGUGCCCUGAAGGAUACAAUCCGGCAAAAGAAGAAGUUUUUGUUGGUGAUGGAUGAUGUGUGGAGCGAAAAUGUGUGGUAUAAGCUGCUUAGAGAGCCGCUCAAUCAUGGUGCUUCUGGCAGUCGAGUCUUGGUGACCACAAGAAAUGAUGGAGUUGCUCAUGGGAUGAAAGCUCAACAUCUCCAUCGAGUUGACAAGCUAACAACGGAAGAUGCUUGGAUUUUGCUAAAGAACCAGGUCAGUAAUAACUUUUAUUUAUUACAGUAAUUAUUUAUGCAGUAAUUUGAAUUUACAGUAACAACUUUUAUCUCUUCUUAAUUACUUUCUCUCCCUUGGAGUAAUGCACGAUAGCCCAUUGCUCAAUAUUUCUCUUGUCGCUCUUUUCCGAUCUGAUUACGCAAAGGACCAUGUAAUUUCACUACGAGCCUUUUAUCAUACUUUCAAAGCUCUUCGCUUAGCAAAACAUGUCUCAUGGUUAUAUUUAGUUGAACAUAUCCUAUUGACGUUGAGGGAUGUUUUGUUUAGGGCAACGAAUCGGGUAUCGUAGCCUAAGAGGGGGAGGGGGUGAUUUAGGCAACUUAAAAUCUUAACCUAUGGCUUCUGCUACUUUUGCAUCAAACAUAAACAAGAUCAUGCUGUCAAGAUGUGCAAUUAUGGUUGAUCUAGUGUGAACUCUUCAUCCUAAAAUAAGUUUUGCAACCUAGAGGCAUCCUAGCAAGAUACUACACUAAGAAAGUAAAGGCACACAAGUUGUAAGUAUGAAAUGCGGAAAUGUAAAGGAGGGGAUGAGGGGAAGCAAACUCUUGACACAAGAGUAUUGCUUUCCGGUCACCAAGUCUCUCCCUGGACACUCCUUGAUUUGCCACAAAGGCUCGGCUACUAAGGCUCACGCCAAAUUCACAGGCUACCUUGAUACCAUCUCCACAAAGGAGCUUCUCCACGAAAGAAGGGGGUCUCCACGUUCCCUGCACAUUGUCGUCGACGCCGCUCCACACCAAGCCGGAGGGUCAAAGACUUACCGGCGAACCACCAAGGCUCCAAGGUUUCAGCACACCUUGUACAGCUGUGGUUCACUCCUAGAAUCGAUCACAAGGCAAGCACACCUUGCAUUCUCUCUUCUCUAGGCCUAUCCUAGCACUAAACAUUCUUCUAAGCUUGCGCUAAACCUUUGAUUAAUCACUUAUGCACUUUUGGUGGUUUGGAUGUGUUCUUGACGAGUCUUGAUCUCCAAUGGAAUUCUGCACACUCCAGCUUCAUCCAACAACUCCAAAUGGGUGAGUGGCGGGGGGUAUAAAUAGCCCAAGAACUCAAAGAGCCGUUGCUCCAACGGCUAGUUAAAGUAUACCAUCGGAUGUUCCGAUGGUAUCAUUUGGGGUAGCAUCGGAACAUCCGGUUCUACCAGCCAUUGCCUCCCCGCGCUCAGAUUCUGCUCAAGUUCCUCACUGACGUAAUCCAUCGAUUGAUCCAGUGGUCCCUCUAGCACCCAUCGGAUCAUCCGGUGCAGUAGCUUCCUAUGCCAAAACGUCUUUGUUAGUUUCUAAAAUAAAUAUGCUUCGUCCGAUGCCCCUGCGACACAUAGCGUCGGAUCAUCCAGUGCCUCCUUCUUUCUUCUCUUUGCUCCGGCGAUUCAUCCGAUGGGUACAAAACUUAGGCCAUCGGAUCAUCUGAUGGUCCUGCUUUGACUUGGUCUCCACAUGGCGAACCAAAAGCUCUGAUGCUUGCACCGACACUUUUUCAACUGGCCAUCAAAGCAUCCGAUGGUCUCAAAAAUCUUCUUCACGCUUGUCACCAACUGAUUCGGUGGGCACCUUCUUCUUGUCACCGGAUGAAUCAGUGGCUAUAACAAUUCUUGUUUUUCUUUGAUUUCUUUGAUUCUUUGCUUGUCUUUGGUUGUGGUUGCUUCCUUAGGACCUAUAAUACCUUCAAGAUAUGUUCUCAAUGCUUUGUUAGUCCUAAUGACCAUGUUGUCACAUUAAUCACCGAAAUCACAAACAAAUGGCCUAUUCGGAGCCAUGUUUGCUACAUUUAGGCUAUCCCCAAUGAGGAUUUCAUAAGAGUUUCUUUUAAUGAUGUGACACAUCAACAAUUUUGAUGAUAUGACAUGCUAAUAAUCAUGAAGAGAGAGAGGGAAGGAGUUUCAUCCUGAUUAAACUGUGUAUACAUUGUUUCCAAGACUAUGAAACCUGAUGAAACUAGCAUUAGGGAUUAGAUAGUUUUAUUUCAUCUCAUAACAUCCAAUCACAUACCUCGCAAUUAAACGUUAUGUCCAGCCUAUAAAAUCGUGAAAUGAAACUCUCCAUUGGGAGAUCUUGUGUCAUACAUCCACUCAAACAUCUUUUGAUGACAUACCACUCCUGAAAACCGUAAUAUGAAAUUCCCCACUGGGAAUAGCUAUGGUUGCUCUAGAGUCUAGACUCUAUUGAAGUCACUUCAACUUUUUCCCAACACACAACCCCUGCACAAGUUAUGAUACAACAUAAAAUCCAUUGGGAGCUUUUCGAUUCUAACACCAUUUCCUCUCUCAAACUUGCUGCAUUUUUUCCAAUACUAGGUAGUUUUGAAUGAGAGUGAUGAUGUCGAUGAAUUGAAGAGUAUCGGGAUGGAAAUUGUUAAAAGAUGUGACUGCUUGCCAUUAGCAGUUAAGGUCCUUGGAGGACUCUUGCGCCGCAAAAGUAGAACAAGAGAUGCCUGGACGGAUGUUAGUAGCCACGGCACUUGGUCGACAAUAGGAAUCCAUGAAGAUAUUAAUAAAGCGGUCUAUUUGAGUUAUGAAGACUUGCCUUCACACUUGAAGCAAUGUUUUGUGUAUUGUUCGCUAAUCCCUCAAGAUUACUUGAUUUCAAGUCGAGUAAUAGUCCAGAUUUGGAUUGCAGCAGGUCAUGUACACAACAAGAUGAGCUGUAAGGCACCAGAAACGUUGGGGGAAGAAUACUACAAAGAAUUGGUUUCAAGAAAUCUUCUAGAACCAGAGAAAGGUUACUAUAGAAUAUCAGCAUGGAACAUGCACGACGUUGUCCGUUCCUUCGCUCAGUAUAUAAUUAAAGAUGAAGGGAUACUUAUUAGUGAUGGGCAGGAUGUCAAUAGAACUCUUAGCACUGCAAAGCUUCGGCACCUAUCUAUCUCAAACAAGGCAGUAAGGCAUGACACUUUGCAAACACAAGCCUUGCUUAGAACAUUAAUGUUAUUCGAAGGCAGCACCACUGUUGAGCUAAAGGAUAUGUUGAACAACCUUUCUUGCCUAAGAGUACUACAUCUGAUAGAUGUAGAUCUAGUUGAGCUGCCAGACUCCAUAUGCCACCUCAAACAUUUAAGAUCCUUGUAUCUUUCUGGCACAAGCAUAUCCACAAUUCCUCAAGGCAUAGGAGAUCUAAAAUUUCUACAAUCUAUUGACCUUGAUGGGUGUGCAAAUAUUCAUCAACUUCCUAACAGCAUCCUAAAGCUGCGGAAGCUAAGGUCACUCACCUUGAGCGACACGGCAAUCACUUCAGUUCCUCGUGGCUUGGGAAAACUAGAAGAUUUGGUCGACAUAAGGGGGUUUCCAACACAUUAUUCAAAUGAGAGCACAGGUGGCUGGUGCAGCUUAGAAGAACUCAGACCUCUAUCGAAGCUCCAAAGCCUUGAAAUAAUAUGUCUGGAGAAGGCACCUUCCGGUUCUAUGGCUGCUAAAGCAAACCUUAGCAGUAAACAUCACCUGACACGGUUACAUUUGGUAUUUACCAGCAGGCUAGGAGACAACGGGGAGGUCGAAGGCAACAUUAGCGAGGAGGAACACAGGAGAACAGAGGAGGUGCUGGAUAAUCUGUGUCCUCCAACUUGCAUGGAACGACUUGAAAUCAAAGGC